Molecule: long non-coding RNA, 1458 nt
Filed under: Betta splendens (Siamese fighting fish)
Lineage: Eukaryota; Metazoa; Chordata; Actinopteri; Anabantiformes; Osphronemidae
Description: lncRNA (ENSBSLG00000015052.1)
Source: RNAcentral
AUGGAGUUCACCUGCGCCGAGCUACCCAGCGACCUACGCGUUUAUUUUCAAAUCCUCGCGGAGGAUUACCGACGGGCGAUUAACCCGGAGAACCAGCGCAGCGCCAUGGAGGUGGCGAUAUUGACGCUGGAGGACGAUGACAGCGCGUUAGAGCGCCCCAGUGUUCGUCGCCUCUAUGAGCGGCUGUGCGCGAGGUUAGAUGAGCUAAGUCGCGCCAGCUGCAGUCCGCGCGCACCUCCAGGAGGAGGUCGCGCCAGCUGCAGUCCCCGCGCACCUCCAGGAGGAGGUCGCGCCAGCUGCAGUCCCCGCGCACCUCCAGGAGGAGGUCGCGUCCGCCGCAGUCCGCGCGCACCUCCAGGAGGAGGUCGCGCCAGCUGCAGUCCCCGCGCACCUCCAGGAGGAGGUCGCGUCCGCCGCAGUCCCGGCGCACCUCCAGGAGGAGGUCGCGUCCGCCGCAGUCCCGGCGCACCUCCAGGAGGAGGUCGCGUCCGCCGCAGUCCCGGCGCACCUCCAGGAGGGGGUCGCGCCCGUCGCAGUCCCGGCGGACCUCCAGGAGGGGGUCGCGCCCGUCGCAGUCCCGGCGGACCUCCAGGAGGGGGUCGCGCCCGUCGCAGUCCCGGCGGACCUCCAGGAGGGGGUCGCGCCCGUCGCAGUCCCGGCGGACCUCCAGGAGGGGGUCGCGCCCGUCGCAGUCCCGGCGGACCUCCAGGAGGGGGUCGCGCCCGUCGCAGUCCCGGCGGACCUCCAGGAGGGGGUCGCGCCCGUCAUAGUUCCUGCCCACCUCCAGGAGGGUGUCGUUCCUGUCAUAGUUCCUGCCCACCUCCAGGAGGGUGUCGUUCCUGUCGCAGCCCCGAUGCACCUGCAUCGGUUCCUGGCGGCUCGGCUCCGGCCGCACCUGCAUCGGUUCCUGGCGGCCCGGCUCCGGCCGCACCUGCAUCGGUUCCUGGCGGCCCGGCUCCGGCCGCACCUGCAUCGGUUCCUGGCGGCUCGGCUCCGGCCGCACCUGCAUCGGUUCCUGGCGGCUCGGCUCCGGCCGCACCUGCAUCGGUUCCUGGCGGCCCGGCUCCGGCCGCCCCUGCAUCGGUUCCUGGCGGCUCGGCUCCGGCCGCACCUGCAUCGGUUCCUGGCGGCUCGGCUCCGGCCGCACCUGCAUCAGUUCCCGCCGGCCCGGCUCCGGCCUGGUCUCCACGUCCGUCGUCGCCUCUGGUUCCUGCAUCGUCUCUGGCUCUGCUGCCGGACUGGUGGCCUCGCCCUCGGCGCCGCCUGCUGCUUGGAUGGCGCUGCCUCCUGCGGCGCCGUCCGCCUCGACUCCUCAGCCUCCUGGAUCAGCGUCCGCCAGGAGGACAUCGCCGUUCGGGGGGGUCCCCGUGGACGCUGGCCCAGACCAAGGGCACUGGGUGUGCCCCUCUGCCUCAGCGGCGGCUGGGCAGGAUCUCACCGCGUCUCCACCCGCCUUAA